GACGAACGCUGGCGGCGUGCCUAAUACAUGCAAGUCGAGCGAGCUUGCCUAGAUGAAUUUGGUGCUUGCACCAGAUGAAACUAGAUACAAGCGAGCGGCGGACGGGUGAGUAACACGUGGGUAACCUGCCCAAGAGACUGGGAUAACACCUGGAAACAGAUGCUAAUACCGGAUAACAACACUAGACGCAUGUCUAGAGUUUAAAAGAUGGUUCUGCUAUCACUCUUGGAUGGACCUGCGGUGCAUUAGCUAGUUGGUAAGGCAACGGCUUACCAAGGCAAUGAUGCAUAGCCGAGUUGAGAGACUGAUCGGCCACAUUGGGACUGAGACACGGCCCAAACUCCUACGGGAGGCAGCAGUAGGGAAUCUUCCACAAUGGACGCAAGUCUGAUGGAGCAACGCCGCGUGAGUGAAGAAGGGUUUCGGCUCGUAAAGCUCUGUUGGUAGUGAAGAAAGAUGGAGGUAGUAACUGGCCUUUAUUUGACGGUAAUUACUUAGAAAGUCACGGCUAACUACGUG
RNAcentral lists this ribosomal RNA (519 nucleotides) under uncultured bacterium. RNAcentral describes it as "partial 16S ribosomal RNA". It matches the Rfam family "Bacterial small subunit ribosomal RNA", at positions 28 to 507 of the family's 1533-position model. The record is from RNAcentral.